UACGGGGGGGGCAAGCGUUGUUCGGAAUUACUGGGCGUAAAGGGCUCGUAGGCGGCCAACUAAGUCGGACGUGAAAUCCCCAGGCUCAACCUGGGAACUGCGUCCGAUACUGGAUGGCUUGAAUUCGGGAGAGGGAUGCAGAAUUCCAGGUGUAGCGGUGAAAUGCGUAGAUAUCUGGAGGAAUACCGGUGGCGAAGGCGGCAUCCUGGACCGACAUUGACGCUGAGGAGCGAAAGCCAGGGGAGCGAACGGG
RNAcentral lists this ribosomal RNA (253 nucleotides) under uncultured bacterium. RNAcentral describes it as "partial 16S ribosomal RNA". It matches the Rfam family "Bacterial small subunit ribosomal RNA", at positions 524 to 776 of the family's 1533-position model. The record is from RNAcentral.